AGCGAACGCUGGCGGCAUGCCUAACACAUGCAAGUCGAACGGGGGGGCUUCGGCCUCCCAGUGGCGGACGGGGGAGGAACGCGGAGGGACCUGUCGAGGGGUGGGGGAUAACUGCGGGAAACUGCGGCGAAUACCGCAUGACGCCGCGGCGUGACAGCCUGGGCCAAAGGCGAAAGCGGCCCGCCGAGGGGGGUGCGUCCGAUUAGCCGGGUGGCGGGGUAGCGGGCCAGCAAGGCGGCGACCGGUAGCUGGUCGGGGAGGGUGAUCAGCCACACCGGGGCUGGGACACGGCCCGGACUCCGACGGGAGGGAGCAGAGGGGAAUAUUGGACGACGGGCGCAGGCCUGAUGCAGCCAUGCCGGGUGGGUGAAGAAGGUGUUAGGAUUGUGAAGCCGUUUCGGCGGGGACGAUGGUGACGGUACCCGCAGAAGAAGCCCCGGCUAACUUCGUG
RNAcentral lists this ribosomal RNA (451 nucleotides) under uncultured bacterium. RNAcentral's name for it is "partial 16S ribosomal RNA". It matches the Rfam family "Bacterial small subunit ribosomal RNA", at positions 30 to 507 of the family's 1533-position model. The record is from RNAcentral.